This 253-nucleotide ribosomal RNA is filed under the name uncultured bacterium. RNAcentral describes it as "partial 16S ribosomal RNA". It matches the Rfam family "Bacterial small subunit ribosomal RNA", at positions 524 to 776 of the family's 1533-position model. The record is from RNAcentral.
UACGUAGGGGGCGAGCGUUGUCCGGAUUUAUUGGGCGUAAAGAGCGUGUAGGCGGCUAUGCAGGUCCGUUGUGAAAACUCGAGGCUCAACCUCGAGACGCCGAUGGAAACCGUAUGGCUAGAGUCCGGAAGAGGAGAGCGGAAUUCCUGGUGUAGCGGUGAAAUGCGCAGAUAUCAGGAAGAACACCCGUGGCGAAGGCGGCUCUCUGGGACGGUACUGACGCUGAGACGCGAAAGCGUGGGGAGCGAACAGG